GUGCCAGCCGCCGCGGUAAUACGUAGGUGGCAAGCGUUGUCCGGAUUUAUUGGGUUUAAAGGGUGCGUAGGCGGCCCUGUAAGUCAGUGCUGAAAUAUCCCGGCUUAACCGGGAGGGUGGCAUUGAUACUGCAGGGCUUGAGUACAGAUGAAGUAGGCGGAAUUGACGGUGUAGCGGUGAAAUGCAUAGAUAUCGUCAAGAACACCGAUAGCGAAGGCAGCUUACUAAGCUGUAACUGACGCUGAGGCACGAAAGUGUGGGGAUCAAACAGGAUUAGAAACCCGCGUAGUCC
This 292-nucleotide ribosomal RNA is filed under the name uncultured bacterium. Its description in RNAcentral is "partial 16S ribosomal RNA". It matches the Rfam family "Bacterial small subunit ribosomal RNA", at positions 505 to 796 of the family's 1533-position model. The record is from RNAcentral.